UUGUAGGCUUGCACUCGCACUCGUUGUCACAAGCGCGCCAUAGAUACUUUAUCCGUCGCAGUUUGGCGAACCGUCAGUCUAGUGUCAGAUACGAAGUUAUACAGCUCAGUGUGCGGAAGAAAAUAUUCAUAUUCUCACUUAGUUGAUUAUUAUUAGAAAAUUUCAAAAUAAUAACUACUAUUUGAAUGCCAGCAGAGUUGAAUGAAAAAAAAAUAAUUAUCUAAUAAAAACAAACAAAAAUUACAACAAGCACUAGAACCAAAGGGUGAAAAUAUUUUGAAAGAAAAAACAAAAAAACCGGAAGUUAAAAAGUGAAAAACCAAGAUUAAAAAAUAGCACCACAAAAGUGUAAAAAUUUUUGCUAAACAUACAAAAAAUUACAUAGUUAUUAGCAUAGCAAAAAAAAAACCUUAAAAUAUAAAAUAUUUUCUGUGUUUGCUGUUUACACUAAAUAACUGUGUAGAAUAUACAAACAUACAUACACACAUACUACAGUGUUAAACCAAAGUUGUCAGCAAAGAAGAAUUACCCAAUUUCGAAUUUCAAUUAAGUAAAAACAAAAAUAAUUAGGAUUACUCAUUCAGAAUCAUCUAAGAAGUAAGCAUAACACAAGAACCAUAUACAUACUUAUACAUACAAUAUACCAAAAAACAAGCCAAGCUUAAACAAAUAUAUUUUGUGCAUAUUGUGAUAAAACUGGAAUGAAAAAGUGAAACAAAUCGCUCGUAUAAAAAAAAAUCUGCUAAAAAACUGUUUUAACUUCGAAAUAUUGCUGAUGUGCGAAAAAGGAAAAGUUAUAUAAAGUGAAAAAGGAAAAAAACGUUAUUACAUUAAAAACCAUUAAAAAUAUUCAAUUUCAAAUUUUUACAAGGUAAUUAGUGGCACGCCAUUGGUUUAAGUGAA
This is a long non-coding RNA of Rhagoletis zephyria (snowberry fruit fly), 903 nucleotides long. RefSeq lists it as uncharacterized. NCBI's taxonomy places the organism in Eukaryota, Metazoa, Arthropoda, Insecta, Diptera, Tephritidae. The record is from RefSeq and is a predicted model, not a curated record.